Molecule: ribosomal RNA, 3087 nt
Filed under: Escherichia coli
Lineage: Bacteria; Pseudomonadati; Pseudomonadota; Gammaproteobacteria; Enterobacterales; Enterobacteriaceae
Description: 23S ribosomal RNA
Rfam family: Bacterial large subunit ribosomal RNA
Source: RNAcentral
GGGUUGUGAGGUUAAGCGACUAAGCGUACACGGUGGAUGCCCUGGCAGUCAGAGGCGAUGAAGGACGUGCUAAUCUGCGAUAAGCGUCGGUAAGGUGAUAUGAACCGUUAUAACCGGCGAUUUCCGAAUGGGGAAAAAAAGAAACAUCUUCGGGUUGUGAGGUUAAGCGACUAAGCGUACACGGUGGAUGCCCUGGCAGUCAGAGGCGAUGAAGGACGUGCUAAUCUGCGAUAAGCGUCGGUAAGGUGAUAUGAACCGUUAUAACCGGCGAUUUCCGAAUGGGGAAACCCAGUGUGWUUCGWCACACUAUCAUUAACUGAAUCCAUAGGUUAAUGAGGCGAACCGGGGGAACUGAAACAUCUAAGUACCCCGAGGAAAAGAAAUCAACCGAGAUUCCCCCAGUAGCGGCGAGCGAACGGGGAGSAGCCCAGAGCCUGAAUCAGUGUGUGUGUUAGUGGAAGCGUCUGGAAAGGCGCGCGAUACAGGGUGACAGYCCCGUACACAAAAAUGCACAURCUGUGAGCUCGAUGAGUAGGGCGGGACACGUGGUAUCCUGUCUGAAUAUGGGGGGACCAUCCUCCAAGGCUAAAUACUCCUGACUGACCGAUAGUGAACCAGUACCGUGAGGGAAAGGCGAAAAGAACCCCGGCGAGGGGAGUGAAAAAGAACCUGAAACCGUGUACGUACAAGCAGUGGGAGCACGCUUAGGCGUGUGACUGCGUACCUUUUGUAUAAUGGGUCAGCGACUUAUAUUCUGUAGCAAGGUUAACCGAAUAGGGGAGCCGAAGGGAAACCGAGUCUUAACUGGGCGUUAAGUUGCAGGGUAUAGACCCGAAACCCGGUGAUCUAGCCAUGGGCAGGUUGAAGGUUGGGUAACACUAACUGGAGGACCGAACCGACUAAUGUUGAAAAAUUAGCGGAUGACUUGUGGCUGGGGGUGAAAGGCCAAUCAAACCGGGAGAUAGCUGGUUCUCCCCGAAAGCUAUUUAGGUAGCGCCUCGUGAAUUCAUCUCCGGGGGUAGAGCACUGUUUCGGCAAGGGGGUCAUCCCGACUUACCAACCCGAUGCAAACUGCGAAUACCGGAGAAUGUUAUCACGGGAGACACACGGCGGGUGCUAACGUCCGUCGUGAAGAGGGAAACAACCCAGACCGCCAGCUAAGGUCCCAAAGUCAUGGUUAAGUGGGAAACGAUGUGGGAAGGCCCAGACAGCCAGGAUGUUGGCUUAGAAGCAGCCAUCAUUUAAAGAAAGCGUAAUAGCUCACUGGUCGAGUCGGCCUGCGCGGAAGAUGUAACGGGGCUAAACCAUGCACCGAAGCUGCGGCAGCGACGCUGAUGCGUUGUUGGGUAGGGGAGCGUUCUGUAAGCCUGYGAAGGUGUGCUGUGAGGCAUGCUGGAGGUAUCAGAAGUGCGAAUGCUGACAUAAGUAACGAUAAAGCGGGUGAAAAGCCCGCUCGCCGGAAGACCAAGGGUUCCUGUCCAACGUUAAUCGGGGCAGGGUGAGUCGACCCCUAAGGCGAGGCCGAAAGGCGUAGUCGAUGGGAAACAGGUUAAUAUUCCUGUACUUGGUGUUACUGCGAAGGGGGGACGGAGAAGGCUAUGUUGGCCGGGCGACGGUUGUCCCGGUUUAAGCGUGUAGGCUGGUUUUCCAGGCAAAUCCGGAAAAUCAAGGCUGAGGCGUGAUGACGAGGCACUACGGUGCUGAAGCAACAAAUGCCCUGCUUCCAGGAAAAGCCUCUAAGCAUCAGGUAACAUCAAAUCGUACCCCAAACCGACACAGGUGGUCAGGUAGAGAAUACCAAGGCGCUUGAGAGAACUCGGGUGAAGGAACUAGGCAAAAUGGUGCCGUAACUUCGGGAGAAGGCACGCUGAUAUGUAGGUGAAGUCCCUCGCGGAUGGAGCUGAAAUCAGUCGAAGAUACCAGCUGGCUGCAACUGUUUAUUAAAAACACAGCACUGUGCAAACACGAAAGUGGACGUAUACGGUGUGACGCCUGCCCGGUGCCGGAAGGUUAAUUGAUGGGGUUAGCGCAAGCGAAGCUCUUGAUCGAAGCCCCGGUAAACGGCGGCCGUAACUAUAACGGUCCUAAGGUAGCGAAAUUCCUUGUCGGGUAAGUUCCGACCUGCACGAAUGGCGUAAUGAUGGCCAGGCUGUCUCCACCCGAGACUCAGUGAAAUUGAACUCGCUGUGAAGAUGCAGUGUACCCGCGGCAAGACGGAAAGACCCCGUGAACCUUUACUAUAGCUUGACACUGAACAUUGAGCCUUGAUGUGUAGGAUAGGUGGGAGGCUUUGAAGUGUGGACGCCAGUCUGCAUGGAGCCGACCUUGAAAUACCACCCUUUAAUGUUUGAUGUUCUAACGUKGACCCGUAAUCCGGGUUGCGGACAGUGUCUGGUGGGUAGUUUGACUGGGGCGGUCUCCUCCUAAAGAGUAACGGAGGAGCACGAAGGUUGGCUAAUCCUGGUCGGACAUCAGGAGGUUAGUGCAAUGGCAUAAGCCAGCUUGACUGCGAGCGUGACGGCGCGAGCAGGUGCGAAAGCAGGUCAUAGUGAUCCGGUGGUUCUGAAUGGAAGGGCCAUCGCUCAACGGAUAAAAGGUACUCCGGGGAUAACAGGCUGAUACCGCCCAAGAGUUCAUAUCGACGGCGGUGUUUGGCACCUCGAUGUCGGCUCAUCACAUCCUGGGGCUGAAGUAGGUCCCAAGGGUAUGGCUGUUCGCCAUUUAAAGUGGUACGCGAGCUGGGUUUAGAACGUCGUGAGACAGUUCGGUCCCUAUCUGCCGUGGGCGCUGGAGAACUGAGGGGGGCUGCUCCUAGUACGAGAGGACCGGAGUGGACGCAUCACUGGUGUUCGGGUUGUCAUGCCAAUGGCACUGCCCGGUAGCUAAAUGCGGAAGAGAUAAGUGCUGAAAGCAUCUAAGCACGAAACUUGCCCCGAGAUGAGUUCUCCCUGACUCCUUGAGAGUCCUGAAGGAACGUUGAAGACGACGACGUUGAUAGGCCGGGUGUGUAAGCGCAGCGAUGCGUUGAGCUAACCGGUACUAAUGAACCGUGAGGCUUAACCUUACAACGCCGAAGGAAGCGGUCUG